GAUUAGAGUUUGAUCCUGGCUCAGAUUGAACGCUGGCGGCAUGCCUUACACAUGCAUGUCGAACGGCAGCAUGGAGGAGCUUGCUCCUCUGAUGGCGAGUGGCGAACGGGUGAGUAAAGCAUCGGAACGUACCGUGUAGUGGGGGAUAACGUAGCGAAAGUUACGCUAAUACCGCAUACGCACUGAGGUGGAAAGCAGGGGAUCGCAAGACCUUGCGCUAUACGAGCGGCCGAUGUCAGAUUAGCUAGUUGGUAGGGUAAAGGCCUACCAAGGCGACGAUCUGUAGCGGGUCUGAGAGGAUGAUCCGCCACACUGGGACUGAGACACGGCCCAGACUCCUACGGGAGGCAGCAGUGGGGAAUUUUGGACAAUGGGCGAAAGCCUGAUCCAGCCAUGCCGCGUGAGUGAAGAAGGCCUUCGGGUUGUAAAGCUCUUUCGGCUGGGAAGAAAUCGCACAGGCUAAUACUCUGUGUGGAUGACGGUACCAGCACAAGAAG
RNAcentral lists this ribosomal RNA (497 nucleotides) under uncultured bacterium. RNAcentral's name for it is "bacterial SSU rRNA". It matches the Rfam family "Bacterial small subunit ribosomal RNA", at positions 1 to 490 of the family's 1533-position model. The record is from RNAcentral.